RNAcentral lists this ribosomal RNA (422 nucleotides) under Fusobacteriota bacterium. Its description in RNAcentral is "Fusobacteria bacterium partial 16S ribosomal RNA". It matches the Rfam family "Bacterial small subunit ribosomal RNA", at positions 355 to 776 of the family's 1533-position model. Lineage: Bacteria; Fusobacteriati; Fusobacteriota. The record is from RNAcentral.
UGGGGGAUUUUGCACAAUGGGCGCAAGCCUGAUGCAGCGACGCCGCGUGAGGGAUGAAGGCCUUCGGGUUGUAAACCUCUUUCGCUGGGUUGAAAGGCCAUGCUUUGGGUGUGGUUGAUUUGAACUGGUAAAGAAGUACCGGCUAACUACGUGCCAGCAGCCGCGGUAAUACGUAGGGUACUAGCGUUGUCCGGAUUUAUUGGGCGUAAAGGGCUUGUAGGUGGUUUGUCGCGUCUGUCGUGAAAUCCUGUGGCUUAACCAUGGGCUUGCGGUGGGUACGGGCAGGCUUGAGUGCGGUAGGGGAGACUGGAAUUCCUGGUGUAGCGGUGGAAUGCGCAGAUAUCAGGAGGAACACAGGUGGCGAGGGCGGGUCUCUGGGCCGUUACUGACACUGAGGAGCGAAAGCGUGGGGAGCGAACAGG